This 353-nucleotide unclassified non-coding RNA is filed under the name soil metagenome. RNAcentral describes it as "partial contains 5.8S ribosomal RNA, internal transcribed spacer 2, and large subunit ribosomal RNA". The stretch from base 1 to 120 matches the Rfam family "5.8S ribosomal RNA", at positions 35 to 154 of the family's 154-position model. The record is from RNAcentral.
GAUGAAGAACGUAGCGAAAUGCGAUAAGUAAUGUGAAUUGCAGAAUUCAGUGAAUCAUCGAAUCUUUGAACGCACAUUGCGCCCGCCAGUAUUCUGGCGGGCAUGCCUGUUCGAGCGUCAUUACAACCCUCAGGCCCCCGGGCCUGGCGUUGGGGAUCGGCGGAAGCCCCCUGCGGGCACAACGCCGUCCCCCAAAUACAGUGGCGGUCCCGCCGCAGCUUCCAUUGCGUAGUAGCUAACACCUCGCAACUGGAGAGCGGCGCGGCCACGCCGUAAAACACCCAACUUCUGAAUGUUGACCUCGAAUCAGGUAGGAAUACCCGCUGAACUUAAGCAUAUCAAUAAGCCGAGGA